RNAcentral lists this small RNA (512 nucleotides) under Cladosporium sp. 0911ARD15O8. Its description in RNAcentral is "eukaryotic LSU rRNA". The stretch from base 187 to 340 matches the Rfam family "5.8S ribosomal RNA". The record is from RNAcentral. Lineage: Eukaryota; Fungi; Ascomycota; Dothideomycetes; Cladosporiales; Cladosporiaceae.
UUCCGUAGGUGAACCUGCGGAGGGAUCAUUACAAGAACGCCCGGGCUACGGCCUGGUUAUUCAUAACCCUUUGUUGUCCGACUCUGUUGCCUCCGGGGCGACCCUGCCUUCGGGCGGGGGCUCCGGGUGGACACUUCAAACUCUUGCGUAACUUUGCAGUCUGAGUAAACUUAAUUAAUAAAUUAAAACUUUUAACAACGGAUCUCUUGGUUCUGGCAUCGAUGAAGAACGCAGCGAAAUGCGAUAAGUAAUGUGAAUUGCAGAAUUCAGUGAAUCAUCGAAUCUUUGAACGCACAUUGCGCCCCCUGGUAUUCCGGGGGGCAUGCCUGUUCGAGCGUCAUUUCACCACUCAAGCCUCGCUUGGUAUUGGGCAACGCGGUCCGCCGCGUGCCUCAAAUCGUCCGGCUGGGUCUUCUGUCCCCUAAGCGUUGUGGAAACUAUUCGCUAAAGGGUGUUCGGGAGGCUACGCCGUAAAACAACCCCAUUUCUAAGGUGACCUCGGAUCAGGUAGG